RNAcentral lists this ribosomal RNA (253 nucleotides) under uncultured bacterium. RNAcentral describes it as "partial 16S ribosomal RNA". It matches the Rfam family "Bacterial small subunit ribosomal RNA", at positions 524 to 776 of the family's 1533-position model. The record is from RNAcentral.
UACGUAGGGUGCGAGCGUUGUCCGGAAUUAUUGGGCGGAAAGGGCUCGUAGGCGGUUUGUCGCGUCGGGAGUGAAAUCCACUGGCUUAACUGGUGGCUUGCUUUCGAUACGGGCAGACUGGAGGUAUGCAGGGGAGAACGGAAUUCCUGGUGUAGCGGUGAAAUGCGCAGAUAUCAGGAGGAACACCGGUGGCGAAGGCGGUUCUCUGGGCAUGUCCUGACGCUGAGGAGCGAAAGUGUGGGGAGCGAACAGG